CCUACGGGUGGCAGCAGUGGGGAAUAUUGGACAAUGGGGGGAACCCUGAUCCAGCCAUGCCGCGUGUGUGAAGAAGGCCCUCGGGUUGUAAAGCACUUUCAGUGAGGAAGAACGCCUGGUGGUUAAUACCCAUCAGGAAAGACAUCACUCACAGAAGAAGCACCGGCUAACUCCGUGCCAGCAGCCGCGGUAAUACGGAGGGUGCGAGCGUUAAUCGGAAUUACUGGGCGUAAAGCGCGCGUAGGUGGCUUGAUAAGCCGGUUGUGAAAGCCCCGGGCUCAACCUGGGAACGGCAUCCGGAACUGUCAAGCUAGAGUGCAGGAGAGGAAGGUAGAAUUCCCGGUGUAGCGGUGAAAUGCGUACAGAUCGGGAGGAAUACCAGUGGCGAAGGCGGCCUUCUGGACUGACACUGACACUGAGGUGCGAAAGCGUGGGUAGCAAACAGGAUUAGAUACCCUUGUAGUC
Molecule: ribosomal RNA, 465 nt
Filed under: Vreelandella stevensii
Lineage: Bacteria; Pseudomonadati; Pseudomonadota; Gammaproteobacteria; Oceanospirillales; Halomonadaceae
Description: partial 16S ribosomal RNA
Rfam family: Bacterial small subunit ribosomal RNA
Source: RNAcentral